GUCCAGACUCCUACGGGAGGCAGCAGUGGGGGAUAUUGCACAAUGGGGGGAACCCUGAUGCAGCGACGCCGCGUGGGUGAAGGAGUGCUUCGGCAUGUAAAGCCCUAUCGGCAGGGAAGAAGGAGGACGGUACCUGACUAAGAAGCCCCGGCUAACUACGUGCCAGCAGCCGCGGUAAUACGUAGGGGGCAAGCGUUAUCCGGAUUUACUGGGUGUAAAGGGAGCGUAGACGGAUGGAUAAGUCUGAAGUGAAAGCCCGCGGCUCAACUGCGGGACUGCUUUGGAAACUGUGCAUCUUGAGUACGGGAGGGGCAGGCGGAAUUCCUGGUGUAGCGGUGAAAUGCGUAGAUAUCAGGAGGAACACCGGCGGCGAAGGCGGCCUGCUGGACCGAAACUGACGUUGAGGCUCGAAAGCGUGGGGAGCAAACAGGAUUAGAUACCCCAGUAU
RNAcentral lists this ribosomal RNA (448 nucleotides) under uncultured bacterium. RNAcentral's name for it is "bacterial SSU rRNA". It matches the Rfam family "Bacterial small subunit ribosomal RNA", at positions 329 to 793 of the family's 1533-position model. The record is from RNAcentral.